Non-coding RNA from Paramuricea clavata, 203 nucleotides. Lineage: Eukaryota; Metazoa; Cnidaria; Anthozoa; Malacalcyonacea; Plexauridae. The record is from the annotation of a GenBank genome assembly.
GACGUCGAAUAUCGACGUCGUAAACACGAUAAACUUUGGUGUUUAUGACGUCGAUAUUCGACGUAAUAAACACGAUCAACUUUGGCGUUUAUGACGUCGAUAUUCGACGUCAUAAACACGAUCAACUUAGAUGUUUACGACGUCGAUAUUCGACGUCAUAAACACGAUCAACUUUGGUGUUUAUGACGUCGAUAUUCGACGUC